RNAcentral lists this ribosomal RNA (478 nucleotides) under Cladosporium herbarum. RNAcentral's name for it is "eukaryotic LSU rRNA". The stretch from base 127 to 280 matches the Rfam family "5.8S ribosomal RNA". Lineage: Eukaryota; Fungi; Ascomycota; Dothideomycetes; Cladosporiales; Cladosporiaceae. The record is from RNAcentral.
UGGCCGGGUAUUCUAACCUCCGUUGCCGAAUUCUGUUGCCCCGGAGCGACCUGCCUCGGGCGGAGGCUCCGGGUGGAACUUAAACUCUCGCGUAACCCCCAGUCCAGUAAACUAAUUAAUAAAUAAAACUUUUAACAACGGAUCUCUCGGUUCUGGCAUCGAUGAAGAACGCAGCGAAAUGCGAUAAGUAAUGUGAAUCGCAGAAUUCAGUGAAUCAUCGAAUCUUUGAACGCACAUUGCGCCCCCUGGUAUUCCGGGGGGCAUGCCUGUUCGAGCGUCAUUUCACCACUCAAGCCUCGCUUGGUAUUGGGCAACGCGGUCCGCCGCGUGCCUCAAAUCGUCCGGCUGGGUCUUCUGUCCCCUAAGCGUUGUGGAAACUAUUCGCUAAAGGGUGUUCGGGAGGCUACGCCGUAAAACAACCCCAUUUCUAAGGUUGACCUCGGAUCAGGUAGGGAUACCCGCUGUACUUAAGCAUAUC